This is a non-coding RNA of Acanthosepion pharaonis, 101 nucleotides long. The record is from the annotation of a GenBank genome assembly. NCBI's taxonomy places the organism in Eukaryota, Metazoa, Mollusca, Cephalopoda, Sepiida, Sepiidae.
ACAUCACGUUGAAACACCAGUUCUUGUAUGAUGUCCGAAAUUAAGCAACGUCGUGCCUGGUCAGUCCUCAGAUGGGUGAUCGCUUGGGAAUACCAAAUGUU